UCAGCAGCCGCGGUAAUACGUAGGAUCCAAGCGUUGUCCGGAUUUACUGGGUGUAAAGGGUGCGCAGGCGGACUUGUUAGUCAGAGGUGAAAUCUCACUGCUCAACAGUGAAACUGCCUUUGAUACUGCAGGUCUUGAAUCCAGAAGAGAGUUGUGGAAUUCCGAGUGUAGCAGUGAAAUGUGUAGAUAUUCGGAAGAACACCAGCGGCGAAGGCAGCAACUUGGUCUGGUAUUGACGCUCAGGCACGAAAGCAUGGGGAUCAAACAGGAUUAGAUACCCUGGUAGUCCAUGCCCUAAACGAUGAUCACUUGAUGUCGGCCCUCAGGGUCGGUGUCGAAGCUAACGCGUUAAGUGAUCCACCUGGGGAGUACGCUCGCAAGGGUGAAACUCAAAGGAAUUGACGGGGGCCCGCACAAGC
Molecule: ribosomal RNA, 419 nt
Filed under: uncultured bacterium
Lineage: Bacteria
Description: bacterial SSU rRNA
Rfam family: Bacterial small subunit ribosomal RNA
Source: RNAcentral